Molecule: RNA transcript, 1562 nt
Organism: Nymphaea colorata (pocket water lily)
Lineage: Eukaryota; Viridiplantae; Streptophyta; Magnoliopsida; Nymphaeales; Nymphaeaceae
Exons: 2
Source: RefSeq, a predicted model, not a curated record
CAGGCCUAAAGUCGAUAAAUAUGCUAAAAACCAGGUUUGCCACGGGACGCUAGGGGCGAUGUAUGUGAUUGUUCCAAUUCUGAUCACUGGAACCGCUUCAACUAGGUUUCUCGCGUUGCAGGGAGAAGCUCUAGGGGGUGCGCUUCCCCCUCGUCGGGGAGAGGAUUUGGGGGCGGGAUGGAGUGCGAAGGAGUUGGGGAAGGCGUGGGGGAGCGCAGGGGGUCUUCGGAACGUGCUGGAGGUGGAGGCGGUGCGGAUGGUCCCCAUUCUGGUUGGAGUUUGGUUAAAGGGUGGAGCUCCGUCGAAGAUCAGCGGUCGAAUAGGAGGGAGACUUCUCCUCUAAUGGCCAGCGAACGGUCAAUGCCACCUCGCCAUUCUACCAGGAUCCUACUAGCAAGUUCCUGAUCAAGGUGUCGUCUAAGGAAGAACUCAACUCGAUGCUCCGUCCAGGGGGUUGGAGGGUGGGGGGAACGGGUCUUGGUCGCCAACUGGUGACGGGCUGCAUCAGAUUCCUCCUAGGGAUGUGAAAGAGGGCCUUAAAUGGUGGACGAAACAAAAAUUCAAGCGUAAGGAGCUUCCAAAAAUGCUGGUCUAUUUGCUCUCAUCUAGUAGUAUGGUGGGUUUGGAAAUUAAGGAAUGAAAGAAGGCACAAGGAGUAAAAUAGACAGCGAGAUGUAGUAGAAGCUGCCUGCCUAGGAAGUCUUUAUGCAUCAGUUUCAGUAGAUAGACCGGAAUUCUGCAUCUUCGAAGCCGAUCGGGACUUGGAUAGUCAUGGGGAUUAAAUGGCACAACUGGCAUUGGGACCAUGGCAUCGAGCUUUGCAUCCAGAUUGAUUUUUUUUGAGAAAGGAUGGAGCUAUUAGGGUGGCUACCUUGGUGCGCCGCCACUAUGGCAAAUUUUUGUAUGACGCAGUCUGCUGCAGCGAGAAAUCCUUUCCAAGUCCACGUCUGUGGAUGCUCAACCAUUGUCUUCAAGAAUCAGGGAGGGGAGGCAACAUAAUUCAUUUGCAAACCAGCUGCAACAGAUGGAGGCGCAGACUCGGAAGAAUUGUUUCGGGGAUUGAUCUUUUCCUUGCUUUUUUUUGGAGAAUCACAAAUAUGCCAGACGGGUUGAAUAUAUCUAUCAGGGGCUUGUCAAUUGAGGUUUCUUCGGUUCUCAGUGCGGAGGUUUUCGUUUCUUCCUGCCUUUCUUGCUAAUCAGGACCCUAAUUCAUUUUGUGUGUACAUGUCCUCAAUUUUUUGUCAAUAAAUGCAGUGGGGCUUUCCUCUCGCAUGAAUUCUCCUGAAAAGCCAGCCCAUCUUAAAAUCUAAUUCUCAAAGCUGCAAUCAGAUCCAAUUUGAUAACAAAGUUAAUAUGUCAUUCUUAAAGUUGAAUUGAAUGUGAAUGUGCCAAGAAAAAAAACUGGCACAUUACAUUAAAAGUGAUAUUCAUUAUCCAGUUUGAUGCUUUUGUGAGAUAAAAAACAAACUCUAUCUCAAUUGGAUGUCAUUUGCCAACUCCAAAUCCGAAACAGUACUCUGUUUGGUUUUGAAAACUUUUUGAUAUCUAUUGGAAUCCUGAUG